GCUUCUCCCCAUGGGCCACCCCAGAGCUGAAUCGCAGGAGUCUGGGGCUGGGGGCGGGGGCAGCAGGAGGGGGUAGCAUUUGUGCUCAGCAAUGGUAAUUAACAAAAGGCAUUUCUCCCCCUGUGUCGGAAAACACAGGCUCCCCUCCCCCGCUCCGGAGUCCCCGCCUUCCUGCCUCCAAAAUCAAACUGGUCUCUUCCAAUCCUGUGAGGGGGAAAAAUAAAAAAACCCACAAAAUGCCUGGGCCCGCGCCCGAGUGUUUCCAGGCGCAUUGCAAUGCCAAGGCCAAUUCUCCAAGCCAAGGGUCUGAGGGGUGGGAGCAGAUGCAAAUUAACCCGGCUCUUGCGAAACUGGUUUCUUCGCUUCCUUUCCGCGCACAGUAACCGCUGUCAGCAAAUCUCCUCAAAAACCUGCGUCUUCCAUUAGAAACAACCGUCAACAGGCCCUUACCUCCCUCUUCACCUCACACUAGAGCUCUGACAACUUUUCUCUCCGUGUCCCCCUCUCCGUCCUUUCUCAUUUGGACGCCUACAGCCGUGGCGCUCCGCGCCUCCCGCACAACCGACCCGCCGCGGCCGAGGACCAAGCGCGGGGGCUGGGGUCCGAGGUCCGCGCGGCCGCUGGCCCCGGGGGAGGGUCCGGGCGAGCCGGGACCACGCCCCUGAGCCCCGCACCGCCCCCUCCCCUCGGGGCUCUCGUUUGUUUUCCAUUUGAAACGUCCUCCUCUUCCUUCUCUCCUCCCCUGUCCCUCCUCUCUACUCCGCUCCGCCGGGAAGGUUAGACCCUGGGGCCUGGCGUCGCGGGUGCGGAGAGGACAUCGGGCCCGCGCAUGCUCAUGUUGGAAGAGGUCAUCAAGAGCCUGUGAUCACCAACUGACCUAUGAGCUGGACCCCAACAAUUAUAGCUCCAUCUUCUCCCCUGUCCUCGGAAUAUGCAUUCUACUUGCCCUCACCAGGCUGGAAGAUACCCAAGGACAUAGGCUUGAGAUAGUAAAAUAUGGUGUUGAGACCUUACAGAUGUUGUAUGUCACAGCCCAGCACUAUCAUCAGCUCCAGUACACUGGCCUGAAAACCUGUAGCUUCUGCUCCUGA
This 1091-nucleotide long non-coding RNA is filed under the name Mustela putorius furo (domestic ferret). RNAcentral describes it as "lncRNA (ENSMPUG00000029562.1)". Lineage: Eukaryota; Metazoa; Chordata; Mammalia; Carnivora; Mustelidae. The record is from RNAcentral.